Molecule: ribosomal RNA, 479 nt
Filed under: uncultured organism
Description: partial 16S ribosomal RNA
Rfam family: Bacterial small subunit ribosomal RNA
Source: RNAcentral
GUACACUCCUACGGGAGGCAGCAGUGGGGAAUUUUGGACAAUGGGCGAAAGCCUGAUCCAGCAAUGCCGCGUGAGUGAAGAAGGCCUUCGGGUUGUAAAGCUCUUUUGUCAGGGAAGAAACGGUGAAAGCUAAUAUUUUUUGCUAAUGACGGUACCUGAAGAAUAAGCACCGGCUAACUACGUGCCAGCAGCCGCGGUAAUACGUAGGGUGCAAGCGUUAAUCGGAAUUACUGGGCGUAAAGCGUGCGCAGGCGGUUUUGUAAGUCUGAUGUGAAAUCCCCGGGCUCAACCUGGGAAUUGCAUUUGAGACUGCAUGGCUAGAAUCUGGCAGAGGGGGAUAGAAUUCCACGUGUAGCAGUGAAAUGCGUAGAUAUGUGGAGGAACACCGAUGGCGAAGGCAGCCCCCUGGGUCAAGAUUGACGCUCAUGCACGAAAGCGUGGGGAGCAAACAGGAUUAGAAACCCUUGUAGUCCCAUGAU